Myotis brandtii (Brandt's bat) is the source of this 75-nucleotide non-coding RNA. NCBI's taxonomy places the organism in Eukaryota, Metazoa, Chordata, Mammalia, Chiroptera, Vespertilionidae. The record is from Rfam.
GGCAGUUCUUGGGUGAUACACCUGGAACCAGGAAGAAGGGAGCCUGAUUCCAGGGUGUGUCACCCGAGAAUCACC